ACAUGCAAGUCGAACGGAAAGGCCCCUUCGGGGGUACUCGAGUGGCGAACGGGUGAGUAACACGUGGGUAAUCUGCCCUGCACUUCGGGAUAAGCCUGGGAAACUGGGUCUAAUACCGGAUAUGACCCCGAGGCGCAUGCCUUGGGGUGGAAAGCUUUUGCGGUGUGGGAUGGGCCCGCGGCCUAUCAGCUUGUUGGUGGGGUGAUGGCCUACCAAGGCGACGACGGGUAGCCGGCCUGAGAGGGUGUCCGGCCACACUGGGACUGAGAUACGGCCCAGACUCCUACGGGAGGCAGCAGUGGGGAAUAUUGCACAAUGGGCGCAAGCCUGAUGCAGCGACGCCGCGUGGGGGAUGACGGCCUUCGGGUUGUAAACCUCUUUCACCAUCGACGAAGGUCCGGGUUUUCUCGGAUUGACGGUAGGUGGAGAAGAAGCACCGGCCAACUACGUGCCAGCAGCCGCGGUAAUACGUAGGGUGCGAGCGUUGUCCGGAAUUACUGGGCGUAAAGAGCUCGUAGGUGGUUUGUCGCGUUGUUCGUGAAAUCUCACGGCUUAACUGUGAGCGUGCGGGCGAUACGGGCAGACUGGAGUACUGCAGGGGAGACUGGAAUUCCUGGUGUAGCGGUGGAAUGCGCAGAUAUCAGGAGGAACACCGGUGGCGAAGGCGGGUCUCUGGGCAGUAACUGACGCUGAGGAGCGAAAGCGUGGGGAGCGAACAGGAUUAGAUACCCUGGUAGUCCACGCCGUAAACGGUGGGUACUAGGUGUGGGUUUCCUUCCUUGGGAUCCGUGCCGUAGCUAACGCAUUAAGUACCCCGCCUGGGGAGUACGGCCGCAAGGCUAAAACUCAAAGGAAUUGACGGGGGCCCGCACAAGCGGCGGAGCAUGUGGAUUAAUUCGAUGCAACGCGAAGAACCUUACCUGGGUUUGACAUGCACAGGACGCGUCUAGAGAUAGGCGUUCCCUUGUGGCCUGUGUGCAGGUGGUGCAUGGCUGUCGUCAGCUCGUGUCGUGAGAUGUUGGGUUAAGUCCCGCAACGAGCGCAACCCUUGUCUCAUGUUGCCAGCGCGUAAUGGCGGGGACUCGUGAGAGACUGCCGGGGUCAACUCGGAGGAAGGUGGGGAUGACGUCAAGUCAUCAUGCCCCUUAUGUCCAGGCUUUCACACAUGCUACAAUGGCCGGUACAAAGGGCUGCGAUGCCGCGAGGUUAAGCGAAUCCUUUUAAAGCCGGUCUCAGUUCGGAUCGGGGUCUGCAACUCGACCCCGUGAAGUCGGAGUCGCUAGUAAUCGCAGAUCAGCAACGCUGCGGUGAAUACGUUCCCGGGCCUUGUACACACCGCCCGUCACGUCAUGAAAGUCGGUAACACCCGAAGCCAGUGGCCUAACCCUUUGGGAGGGA
RNAcentral lists this ribosomal RNA (1398 nucleotides) under Mycobacterium sp. MB69. RNAcentral's name for it is "16S ribosomal RNA". It matches the Rfam family "Bacterial small subunit ribosomal RNA". Lineage: Bacteria; Bacillati; Actinomycetota; Actinomycetes; Mycobacteriales; Mycobacteriaceae. The record is from RNAcentral.